GCGAUGGCGAACGGAUGACGGCGACGGCGGCAACAAACGGUGGAUAGCCGGCGGCAGUGUCAGCAGCAGGACUGAUCGAAGGAUAUUAGACGAGCCCCGGUCAUCCCUAGGUGUGCUACAUAUUCAAGUACCACACCCUACACACAAGGGGGAUUCGAACCCGCGAUAUGAGGGGACUUACGACCUUCAGAGAGGCCGCUCUGCCAACAGACCACGAAGACUUGCAAGCUAUCUCAAUAAAUUGCAGCACCAAGCCCCAAAGUUUCAUCUUCAUGCAGUGUAAAAGAGGGGUGGUGGUAUUCAAAGGUGGGUUUCUAGAAGCAAUCCAGCUGAAAGCUAUACUUGAGGAAUACAUAUUUCGUUGACUUUGUUCAUGUUGUGAAAUAAAUUUAUGGAUAAUUUUAUAUUAAAAAAGUCAAAUCUAGCUGAAAUCCAUGACAUGAUCUGCUGUGAUCCAUGCUUUACUUAUUCUUGCUUUCCUAUAGACUUGUCAGUGAAAUUGCUGAAUGUU
This is a long non-coding RNA of Phalaenopsis equestris, 511 nucleotides long. RefSeq lists it as uncharacterized. The record is from RefSeq and is a predicted model, not a curated record. NCBI's taxonomy places the organism in Eukaryota, Viridiplantae, Streptophyta, Magnoliopsida, Asparagales, Orchidaceae. The transcript has 3 exons.